AGGGGGCUUAGUGGUGGGGUGACUGCGUACCUUUUGUAUAAUGGGUCAGCGACUUAUAUUCUGUAGCAAGGUUAACCGAAUAGGGGAGCCGGAGGGAAACCGAGUCUUAACCGGGCGUUAAGUUGCAGGGUAUAGACCCGAAACCCGGUGAUCUAGCCAUGGGCAGGUUGAAGGUUGGGUAACACUAACUGGAGGACCGAACCGACUAAUGUUGAAAAAUUAGCGGAUGACCUGUGGCUGGGGGUGAAAGGCCAAUCAAACCGGGAGAUAGCUGGUUCUCCCCGAAAGCUAUUUAGGUAGCGCCUCGUGAAUUCAUCUCCGGGGGUAGAGCACUGUUUCGGCUAGGGGGCCAUCCCGGCUUACCAACCCGAUGCAAACUGCGAAUACCGGAGAAUGUUAUCACGGGAGACACACGGCGGGUGCUAACGUCCGUCGUGAAGAGGGAAACAACCCAGACCGCCAGCUAAGGUCCCAAAGUCAUGGUUAAGUGGGAAACGAUGUGGGAAGGCCCAGACAGCCAGGAUGUUGGCUUAGAAGCAGCCAUCAUUUAAAGAAAGCGUAAUAGCUCACUGGUCGAGUCGGCCUGCGCGGAAGAUGUAACGGGGCUAAACCAUGCACCGAAGCUGCGGCAGCGACGCUGAUGCGUUGUUGGGUAGGGGAGCGUUCUGUAAGCCUGCGAAGGUGGCCUGUGAGGGUUGCUGGAGGUAUCAGAAGUGCGAAUGCUGACAUAAGUAACGAUAAAGCGGGUGAAAAGCCCGCUCGCCGGAAGACCAAGGGUUCCUGUCCAACGUUAAUCGGGGCAGGGUGAGUCGACCCCUAAGGCGAGGCCGAAAGGCGUAGUCGAUGGGAAACGGGUUAAUAUUCCCGUACUUGGUGUUACUGCGAAGGGGGGACGGAGAAGGCUAUGUUGGCCGGGCGACGGUUGUCCCGGUUUAAGCGUGUAGGUGUGUGUUCCAGGUAAAUCCGGUUCACUUUAACACUGAGGCGUGAUGACGAGGCACUACGGUGCUGAAGCAACAAAUGCCCUGCUUCCAGGAAAAGCCUCUAAGCAUCAGGUAACAUCAAAUCGUACCCCAAACCGACACAGGUGGUCAGGUAGAGAAUACCAAGGCGCUUGAGAGAACUCGGGUGAAGGAACUAGGCAAAAUGGUGCCGUAACUUCGGGAGAAGGCACGCUGACACGUAGGUGAAGUGAUUUACUCAUGGAGCUGAAGUCAGUCGAAGAUACCAGCUGGCUGCAACUGUUUAUUAAAAACACAGCACUGUGCAAACACGAAAGUGGACGUAUACGGUGUGACGCCUGCCCGGUGCCGGAAGGUUAAUUGAUGGGGUCAGCGCAAGCGAAGCUCCUGAUCGAAGCCCCGGUAAACGGCGGCCGUAACUAUAACGGUCCUAAGGUAGCGAAAUUCCUUGUCGGGUAAGUUCCGACCUGCACGAAUGGCGUAAUGAUGGCCAGGCUGUCUCCACCCGAGACUCAGUGAAAUUGAACUCGCUGUGAAGAUGCAGUGUACCCGCGGCAAGACGGAAAGACCCCGUGAACCUUUACUAUAGCUUGACACUGAACAUUGAGCCUUGAUGUGUAGGAUAGGUGGGAGGCUUUGAAGUGUGGACGCCAGUCUGCAUGGAGCCGGCCUUGAAAUACCACCCUUUAAUGUUUGAUGUUCUAACGUGGACCCGUGAUCCGGGUUGCGGACAGUGUCUGGUGGGUAGUUUGACUGGGGCGGUCUCCUCCUAAAGAGUAACGGAGGAGCACGAAGGUUGGCUAAUCCUGGUCGGACAUCAGGAGGUUAGUGCAAUGGCAUAAGCCAGCUUGACUGCGAGCGUGACGGCGCGAGCAGGUGCGAAAGCAGGUCAUAGUGAUCCGGUGGUUCUGAAUGGAAGGGCCAUCGCUCAACGGAUAAAAGGUACUCCGGGGAUAACAGGCUGAUACCGCCCAAGAGUUCAUAUCGACGGCGGUGUUUGGCACCUCGAUGUCGGCUCAUCACAUCCUGGGGCUGAAGUAGGUCCCAAGGGUAUGGCUGUUCGCCAUUUAAAGUGGUACGCGAGCUGGGUUUAGAACGUCGUGAGACAGUUCGGUCCCUAUCUGCCGUGGGCGCUGGAGAACUGAGGGGGGCUGCUCCUAGUACGAGAGGACCGGAGUGGACGCAUCACUGGUGUUCGGGUUGUCAUGCCAAUGGCACUGCCCGGUAGCUAAAUGCGGAAGAGAUAAGUGCUGAAAGCAUCUAAGCACGAAACUUGCCCCGAGAUGAGUUCUCCCUGAGACUUAGAGUCUCCUGAAGGAACGUUGAAGACGACGACGUUGAUAGGCCGGGUGUGUAAGCGCAGCGAUGCGUUGAGCUAACCGGUACUAAUGAACCGUGAGGCUUAACCUUACA
Molecule: ribosomal RNA, 2375 nt
Filed under: Salmonella enterica
Lineage: Bacteria; Pseudomonadati; Pseudomonadota; Gammaproteobacteria; Enterobacterales; Enterobacteriaceae
Also listed under: 1 other name
Description: partial 23S ribosomal RNA
Rfam family: Bacterial large subunit ribosomal RNA
Source: RNAcentral